RNAcentral lists this transfer RNA (66 nucleotides) under Palaemon sinensis. RNAcentral's name for it is "tRNA-Leu". Lineage: Eukaryota; Metazoa; Arthropoda; Malacostraca; Decapoda; Palaemonidae. The record is from RNAcentral.
AUCAGUUUGGCAGAUGGAUGCGCUGGAUUUAGGAUCCGUUUAGAUAGUGGUUGGCUAUAGCUGGUA